AUCCAUGCAAGAAGUUUCUAGCAUUUGCAUGGAUCAUACUUUAGCAUAUCAUCUUGGGCCAAGGUAAGAUUACACUUCAACACAAACACCAAUUGGCUGGUGUUGAUAUUCAACAUAUUUUGCUUUUCUCCCUCAUCAUGAGGGCUUGGGAUUUGAUAAACCCCCUAAUAGUUUAAAUUCAUGAUUCUUGUGGGUGCAAUUUGUUUUUUUUUAUGUCGUUUCAAGAUCUGUUACAGGACCUCGGAACCCAUUCGAGUGGCUAAGUUUAGGAGGCUUUCAGUUUACAAGGUGGAUCGAGUAGAGAGAGAGAGCGCAUUCGAGUGGCAGAAACCGAAGCCUGCUAGUAUUUUCUGCAGCAAACAAAUUUUCAUGCAAAUGAUGAUGUUAUAUAUCGAUCCAUGAAAUUCAUUUUCGAAAACAAAUCAAAAGUUCUACCGACUAUAAUAUGCAGUUAAUCUGGAUUAAUUAAUGCUUCAUUGAGACUAGUUGUUCAAGUUCCUUAAUUAUUUUGACUUAGCCGCAGGUAAAAACAUUGACUUCAAAAAAAAAAAAGCAUUGACGAAGGUUCUUAAUUUUCUUCUCUCCCAAGUCGUUUGUAAUGUACUUCUUGUUUUACCAAGCCAAAUUAUGUAGACCUCACAAAACGCGAGGAACGGAAGAGUUGGGAAUCGGAUUAGACAAGACCGAGUCGGGAAUCGGAUUGAAAAUAACACUAAAUAACAAACCCUCAUGUCCGAAAUGCAGAUUAAACUGCCAUUUGAUUAAGACUUCUAGCCUUUGAUUGGCAGAAAAUAUUCACUUCUACUCCUGUGUGGAUUCACACUUAACAAACACCGUACAGCCAGCAAGAACGUAUAGGACCACACCAUCAAUAUAUAUAUAUAUGUAUAUUAUUGGAUUCGGCUCGUGUUUGCUUACUAUAGUCCAAGUUGUGAACAUACAGUGGCGAAGCUACAUAGGGGCGAGGAGUGACGGUUGCCACUCCGCUCGUCGGAAAACAUGCCUAAGACCGAGUCCUAAACCUCUCUGGUUUGGUCGGAAACUGGAAAACACAAUGGUGUUUCUGUUUGUUCAUACUGCUGCGCGGCUCCCUAUGCGCAUGGCUU
RNAcentral lists this long non-coding RNA (1106 nucleotides) under Malus domestica (apple). RNAcentral's name for it is "long non-coding RNA (MDOM_LNC001248)". The record is from RNAcentral. Lineage: Eukaryota; Viridiplantae; Streptophyta; Magnoliopsida; Rosales; Rosaceae.